RNAcentral lists this ribosomal RNA (253 nucleotides) under uncultured bacterium. Its description in RNAcentral is "partial 16S ribosomal RNA". It matches the Rfam family "Bacterial small subunit ribosomal RNA", at positions 524 to 776 of the family's 1533-position model. The record is from RNAcentral.
UACGUCGGGGGCAAGCGUUGUCCGGAUUUAUUGGGCGUAAAGAGCGUGUAGGCGGUUUGGUAGGUCCGUUGUGAAAACUCGAGGCUCAACCUCGAGACGCCGGCGGAAACCAUCAGGCUAGAGUCCGGAAGAGGAGAGUGGAAUUCCUGGUGUAGCGGUGAAAUGCGCAGAUAUCAGGAAGAACACCCGUGGCUAAGGCGGCUCUCUAGUACGGUACUGACGCUGAGACGCGAAAGCGUGGGGAGCGAACAGG